This is a long non-coding RNA of Triticum aestivum (bread wheat), 4310 nucleotides long. RefSeq lists it as uncharacterized. The transcript has 11 exons. The record is from RefSeq and is a predicted model, not a curated record. NCBI's taxonomy places the organism in Eukaryota, Viridiplantae, Streptophyta, Magnoliopsida, Poales, Poaceae.
UCUCUCUCUCCCUCCCGCUGCGACCCCUCCUCUCGAUCCACCCCCUCCCGCUGCAACCUCUCUCUUUCCCUCUUUCUCCCACUCCACCGCCGCCGCCCCGCCUCCCGCUCCGCCGCCGAGAGGCUAUCGAGUAGCCGGCAUCGAUAUCCGAGAGGAGUCGCCCUUCGCCGCCGCCGAGAUCCCGUGCCUCUCUACAGAUCCCUCUCGCUCUCCUCUUCGCCCAUCCACCUGGAUCAAAAGUCGAAACCCGCCGCCCCUAUGUCUCUGCUGGUGCUCGACGGAAGACGAGGGCGGCUCCUCCCAGCGAUUCCCCGUGGUCCUCGGCGGAGGCGACGGCUAGCUGCAGCGAAAAGACAAUGGGGUGAUGCUCACCUUCGCCGAGGAGAAGAUGCUCACCUUCUCGCCCCUCCCCCUACCGUGAUGUACGUGGAUGAAUCCGACGGCAACGAGGACGACCUCGUAGGAUCCAGCCACGUUUGUGCGGAAUUUCGCGGGGAUGAAUCUACCCGGCCUCUCGUCCUAUCCGCCGCCGGUAGAGGCAUCCAUGUCCAAUGGUGUGAAUUUUGGCUGGUUCCAUGAGCACUUCGUUCCCUGCCGUUUAGUCUUCGUUGAUUCGGGAAGAUGGUGGUUGUCUGUUUAGCCAUUUCAAUCUGCUAUUGAUCAUGCUCAUUCUUGUUAUAUUCAGUUAUAUUGGAAACACCAUCUGAUUCAGUUAUAUUCUUGAUCAUGCUCAUGCUCAUCCUUAUUCAAAUAAGAAUACUUCUGUUUGGAGAGCUCGGGCGUCAGCUGUGUGGAAGCACCAGCUGAUUUGUAACUGGUCGGAAGGUCCUUGGGGUUGGGUGCGGCAACUCGCGACUCGAAGACAUUUCGUGCAUGUGCUCCCCUGCGCUUGGUGACCAAUACAUCUACUCCGUCGUGAACAUGUGCUUCGUGUCAUACAGGUCGCCGCCAAGGGUGAGCUCGUGCAGCGGUACAGGUUAUGUGCAUUAUUGAUCAGCCAAUCUUGAGAGAGAGAUGGGUUGGCGUGAAUGGGAAGAAAACUACAUUGAAUGGACAAGAAGUAUGCCCUCAACUUUUUCAUGGUAUGUCUUACUUAUUGUUCUUGUGAUUUUUCCAUCAGUUUCACUUUACAUUUUUUCUUUGCUUUUUCAUGGCAUCGGGAUGCCCACUGCCGACGGUGCUGCGUUGCUACCAAAGGGGCACCCUGCCGCGGCCGGGGACUCACUGCCGUCGAAGCACGACACCUUGCCGUCACGUAUGUUGGGUGUUGUGGUGCUGCAGGUCCUUGGGGUUGGGUGCGGCAACUCGAGACUCGAAGACGAUCUUCUGUGUUAGGGCGUCGCCGGCGGCGGCGGCACCUGUAUAGACCGUCUCGGUGUGACAGAAGAGUACGGAGUUCACUCCGAGAAAGAAUUGCUUUGCAUGUACAUUUGCUGAAAGGCUGAUGUGCUGAACUUUCGAUGAUUUCGAUUGGUAUUCAACUUGAGGAAUUUCAUACUUUUGGAGUGGAGCUAUCAAAUAUAUGUGUGCUCGAUGUUGGUGUUUUAAUCCGGAUUCUCUCGCUGAAGGUGCUCGAUGUUGGUGUUUGAAUACUGCUACCGUACUUCAAGCAAAGUUCUCCUAGAGGUGUGAUGUUGGUGGUGAUUUUCUUAUCCGGGGAUAUGGAUGUGGCGGGUCUGUGGGCACCAUGCUGACGCGGAGAAGGAGGUGCAGGUAGCGGGGCGCUUGAGGUGAGGUGGCUGCAGGGUCGCUCGAGAAGAACAGGCUCAUCAGCACCACCUGGAUGCCUUCGUCAUCAGCAAUGUGGACAAGGUAAAGUGGGAUGGCGGGAUUGUAUAGUGCUCAUAAGCCAGUCUGGGCAUUGUCCUUCCUCGAAUGAAUCUGAGACUACUCCUCAUAUGUUAAUCAGUUGCUCCUCCCUAGCUUUGGUUUGGUCUGAACUUCAAAGUUUUCAUCCACUCAAUGUUGAUUCAGUCAAAGAUCUCUUGGAAAAAUUAUUUCGACAAGAUUCACUCUAUAAUGUUGUUAUCAUUGUCCUCUGGAAUAUAUGGAAGCGCAAAAACUCCAAGGUCUCCCGGGAUGUUUUUGAGGAAUUGCACAUUACUGCUAGCAAGAUUGCUGAUGAUUGAUACUAUGGUCCCACAGGUAUUCACAUGAAAUUAAUAAAUGGCACCUUACGGAUUGGAGUACUCUACUGUACCACCUAUCUAGGAGAUUUUAAUUUUUUCCUUCUAUUAUUUCUCUUAAUCCCUGUGUACUCAUUGGACUUUGUAUAGUUCUCAAUUUUAUGAAGUGGUUCAGGCUGGCGUAAGCCGCCAUAGUCCCAGUAAAAAAAGGCUACAAGCUUCGCUUCGGCCUUUCGGAACUGAAUAUUAUGUAGUUUUAUUGAGAUUAUUGAUAGUGCUUCUCUACUAUCAAAGAAGGUAAUAGUCUCUUAUGUGUUUCUUUUUGUCCAUUUGAAUGCACUCCAUUUUUUAGUGUAUUAAUUAACAUCAAACCUCCCAUUCUUUCUAGAGUGCUGAUGUAUUAUUAUUUUCAGCUUAACACAUUUAACUUCCUAUAGAUUUCAUGGUUUAUGCAGAUUAACCGAGCUAAGAAUUUUUGUGAAGCUAAAGUUGGUGUUAAGAUGAACGCCGCUAUGUAUAUAUUUGAAACAGUUAGAUACAUGCUUGACAGACUAUAUAGCAAGCAUUAUGGGACAAGUUUCUCUACCUUAAAUAAGUGUUCAUUCUCUCGUGUUUACUAUUCGUUUAAGGGUCAUCAACCCGUGUAUUUAUUUUCAUUGACCAAGUUUUACAUUUUUCUUCAGUAGUGUUCAUUGUGCAGUUCUAGAUUGUUAAGAGAGUAGAGUUUAUUGAUUUAUUACAUGGAGAGACCAGUAGUGUCGUAGUGGUCUUGACAUAAUUGCUAACAUUUUCUACUAGACAAAGUUUAAUUGCACUAAAUACAAAUUAGAACAUGCAUAGACAUUUAUCUUCUUUCUACAGAAUGGUUAGUGUAAACAUACUUUGAGUUGUACAUGAUUCUGUAUCUGACCAUUUUAUCUCAUAUGUUGAUGUGGUUGCAGAUAUGAACUUCAAAUUAUCCUGCAAUGUAUUGACUGCUCGGAGCUAACUUGACUACGCCAGUUUUCUUUUAUGGCUCAAAGUAGUUAGUGUCCCCCCUUAUUAUGAGAGAGGUUCUAUGGCAGUGGAGUAAUGUUCGUAAAUUAUAUAUUGCUUUCAAGUUUGGAGCUGGAAUAAUAUAUGUGCUGCAUUUAGUUAUAGUCUUAUAGAUAUACAUGAACAUCCAUUGUAUAUUUCUUGCAAGACAUGUUCUCGUUGUUGGUGGGAACAUUUGCUGUCUAAGAUCGACCUCAAAUAUCUGGUGGCACUAUAGCAUGACUUCUGGGCCUUGGCCCAUUUACCCGUCGAAAGUGGGUGGCCGCUAUAAGGGUGGCGUUGCCAAUCCGCCCGGCCUCUCAAAAACCCCAGGGCAGCCCCGAGCAGGAGCGAAGGCGGCGGCGGGCACGCGAGGGAGGUCGGCGGCGAGCACCGGAGCAGGCGAGGGAGAUCGUCCGCGGCGACCAGGUCAGACGUGUCCAUGGCGACCGCCGGCGAACUACUCCGACCUCUGCUGAUCUCCAAGAUCCGAGGCAUCAAGCGCUCGGUGAUGCUUUUGGCGAAAGCUACUGGACACGUCGUUGCUUCAGUAUCUCGCCAAAAGGAAGCGAUCCGCGCCAAUCCUGCACAUAACCACAGGAUCGACACUGUCGGUUGCUUCAAUCAUAUGUACCUGGACCUUACAAAUUCUUUGGUUUCGGUCAAUGGACUGCUGGAACACUAUGUUGCUACAUCCCGUGCCAAUCCCGCAGUUGGGGAAACACAUGCACAAACAGUGGCUCGUCUAAAGUCUGCAAGAGAAGCACUAUUAUUGUUCGAGAACUUGAUGAGCCAUGCAUUGGGCAUAUUAGUGGGGGCAUCAAUGGAGUUGUCUUCAGGUCAUAUACACAACACAUUCCUUGGCAUCGAGUCUACCAUUACCACCCUCAUGGAUCAGCAAAGUUUGCUUGGGUCUGUGAUAUAUUACAUGGAGCAGGUGCAAUCGUCAGUUUGAUGUCCCAAUCAACAUGGGCAUUCAGUGUCAAACUUGUGGAGUUUCUAGUGCGAGGCUAUUAUUGCAUUUUAAUUCUUAGCACUGAUAGUACCAAAAUUUCACUAGCGGGGCUGGUGUGGUGAUGGUUAUAUUUUGUGUAUGCCGCCUGAUGUAGAGUGUUUGUUAUGGUAAACUUAACCAUGUCAACUGAUCGAGUUAGAUCAUGUUACUUUGUG